Long non-coding RNA from Pipistrellus kuhlii (Kuhl's pipistrelle), 2611 nucleotides. RefSeq lists it as uncharacterized. The record is from RefSeq and is a predicted model, not a curated record. Lineage: Eukaryota; Metazoa; Chordata; Mammalia; Chiroptera; Vespertilionidae. The transcript has 3 exons.
UAUCACCACUUGGCAAUAUUUUAGAAUAAAAGCCCAUCAUUAUCUAUUGCUUAUUGCUAUAAUCCUUGCCAGCUCACCUGCUUUUUUCCAUAUUUUCCUAUUCUGUUCUCAUCUGUCACUGCUGGUGCUGUCACUUCUCUUAGAUUCCUUGCCUGCUAAAUCCAACCUAGAACACACCAUCUAGCAGAAGGACAUCCAAGCCAGUUCUGGAAAUUUGUGACUGCCUUCUGCCUGAUGCCUUUUGAUUUUUCUUCCUCCUGAUAUUUCCCUUGUUUCUUCCCUCUGUUAGUUUUGUGCAGCUAUGUUAGAGUUCUGUUAACCAGGAAAGGCUAUUACUUAGUCCAAAGAUAACAUUCUCCUGACUCUAGAUAUAGAACAUCUGACAUUGACUUAAAACAUCUGCUUAUUCAGAAAUGUAUAAGCUCUUGAAAAAGCCUACAGUCUGAAAUGGUUUUCACAAAUAAGCAGCCUGCUUUUGAAAUGCUGGCUCUCCCGGCAGCUACAUACCUGACUCACUGGUGGCUGGGAUUCAACUGCCACCAUACCAUCAGGUCUCAUAAAGCACCUCUGUGUUGCCUCCUCUCUCCUCUGUGGCCAACCAAGAGGUAGCAAAUGAGGUUACAGACUAAUAUGAUACCUAAUUCAUGCUUUCCAAUAACCUUAUAGAUAUUACUGCAUUUAUGUUCUUCUCAAGAAAUCAGUUGUUCCCUAUUCAAUGUUAUAGAUUUUUGUAAUUUUAAAACUUAAGGGACAGCUGAGGAAAGUGAGGCAAAGUAUUUUAUUUCUAACAAAAUUAAAUUUUAGAAAAAAAUGUGUGUACAUAUUUGAAACUGUUGAAAUGCCAAGUUUUCUGUAUAAAUGUUUUUGUAAUGAAACUUUUAUAUUUUUUUUGUUUUUUAAGACGUCAAUAUGCUUGCUUGACAUCUGCCUUAUUAAAAUUUUUAUGUUGAAUCAAUCCUAUUUAAUUUUAUCUGCAUUUUAAUGAAAAGACUCCUACCUCUGCCUUUUCAUCUUAAAGAUUGUCAACCCUACAUUAAUUAAUAAGUCUGUUAUGAUUUCAAAACAGUAACACAUUCAUUUUACUAAUUUCUUAUUCAAAUGUAUCUUAGCCUGUUUGAAAGUUCAGCUCUUUUAAAGCAUGUUAUAAUAAUACAAUGAAUGGUAAUUCAUUUUAAUAUAGCAGUAGUAUUAAGGAGGCAACUUAAAAGAGGUCUGAUUUUUCUUUGUUUUUGUUGUUGUUGUUGUUGUUAAUCCUUAUCUGAAGAUAUUUUUCCAUUGAUAUUUAGAGAGAGUGGAAGGGAAGAAAGGGGAGAGGGAAGAAAAGAGAGAGAGGUGAGAGAGGGGGAAGGGUGAGAGAGAGAGAUUGGUUGGUUACAUACCACAAUGCAUCCCAACUGGCCCAAGUAUUGAACCUGCAACUCAGGUAUGUGCCCUUGACUGGAAUUUGAACCCUAGACUCUUCUGUCCACAGACUGACACUCUUAACCACUGACCAACACCUGCCAGGGUAGAAGUCUGGCAGUGUGGCUUAGUUGGUUGGAGCAUUGUCAUCUGAGUGUCAUAUUCUGUACACUGAGAGAUGGAGGGUUCGAUCCCCAGUAAGAGGUGCAUUGGGGAAGCAGUCCUGACUGACCCAGGAUUGAACUUGCCACCUGGGUAUGUGUCCUGACUGGGAAUGGAACCUAUGACCUUUCAGUGUAUAGGACAACGUUCCAAUCAACUGAGCCACAGGGCCAGGGUGCCACCAUGCUUUUAAAAUCCUAGGGUGAGGUAAUCUGGCUUCCACAGCCUAAUGUCCAAGAAGACAGUUGUGUGGCAUUGGACAAGAUUUGCUUUGUUCCAACUCUAAUUUCCUCUCUCUCUCUUUUUUUUUUUGGUGGGGGGGGGUGGGGGGGUGUUAGCUUGUUUUUGUGUUUUUUAUUAAUCCUCAUCCAAGGAUAUAUUUUCCCAUUGAUUUUUAGAGAAAGUGGAAGGUAGGGAGAGAGACAUUGAUUGAUUGCCUCCUGCACGUGCUCCGACUCAGCCUGGGAAUUGAGUCUGCAAUCCAGGAGCAUGCGCCCUUGACCAAGAUUCUAACCCAUGACCCUUCCGUUUGCAGGCCAGCACUCUAAUCAUAGGCUACACUGGCCUGGGCUCGUUUUCUCUUCUGACAACCCAAAUCAGCAAAAGGUUAAACAAGAAAUGUAUCUCUCGGAAAAGUAUUCCAGAGGUUGGUAAUUCAAGAUCAGUAUAGAGCUCCUCUGCCCCAUAACAUGGUUCCAUUUUCAAGGUCACCUCAUGGUCCAAAAUAGCCACUUGUCAUUCAUCAGUCAUCAUUUGAAAUUCUUGGCAGCAUAAUGAAGAGGGCAAGGGCAAAAUGGACAAAUCUAGCUGAGUCAGCACACUGUAAAGUCUUUCUGGAAAUCACAUUCACCCCUUCCAGAACUGUCACAUGACUAACAGCUAGCUGUUGAUGGGAAAAAAGACAUUUUGGGGUCUAGCAAUCUGAAUCUAGUCACUGCCUUUUUAAUUGUCUGGUCCUGCAAGACCUGUUUACUCCCAUUUUAGAGAGGUGGUAAACCAUCCCCAGGAAAAGACCCAGCACAUAGGGCUCUUUAAGAACUUGCAAAGG